Molecule: long non-coding RNA, 1210 nt
Filed under: Homo sapiens (human)
Lineage: Eukaryota; Metazoa; Chordata; Mammalia; Primates; Hominidae
Description: HSALNT0383325
Source: RNAcentral
CUGAUGUUAUCCUUCCCUGUUUAUGUUACGUUUGCCACUCGUAGCUUUCUUGUUUUCAACAAGAGGAUUUUCCACUAUCUGCUCCAAAUGCUGCAAGUUCUCCUCUAGCAGGGAGCAGAGCUUCCAGGCAUUAUGAUCUGUCCUGCCUGUCUGGAUGGAACUUCUGCUCCAUACUAUUGAAAUGAAGAGAAUCAGACUACCCACCUUGGAUUCUGAUAUGAAAGAUUUAGGAUAAAAGAGCUACUCCAUCAGCCUGGAAAGAUGACUCACUGGCAAACUCUUAGAUAAAGCUAAACUUCACACCAAACUGCAAGAGAGUCUAAGAAUGAAGAGAAAACUGCUUUGGCAAGCAACUACCUAGUCUCUGACACAGUCCACCUUUUUGGUCAGCCAAUAUCCAGCUCCGCCUUGUCUUCUUACACAAAGCCCAGGCAAAGCCCAGGAUUGCUAACUGUUGUACAAACCUGUUGGUCAGGCCUAGAUGGAAGCUUUCAACCCCAUUUCAAGUCAGCUGGCUUAUCCAACCCUGAAAGGUCUGUGAUCUCUCAGUUCUUUUUAUAAACAGGCCUCUGCUUGCAAAUGGCCAAUUCUUGCCUGAGCUCAUCUCUUUCUUGUAAUACUUUAUGAAAGGCAGCCAGUAGUAACUAAUGCAUAAAUUUUUCCAACCAACUGGCCCAAAGGUCAGUAGACCUUUUUACCAAAUGUUUCGCAAUGUAUAGCAUGAAUCUCCAUCUUUCUCCUCUCUGUUAUCAGGUUCCUCAGUGCCCAACCAUUAUGUCAAUGCCUUUUACCUUAAUUUUUUUCUUAUGGCAACAUUUUCUUCUGGAAUUAUUUCUGUACUGUAGCAAAUGCCCUAAACUGUGUAAAACAGUUUGAAGACACUAUUUUUUUUUCUAUUUUUAUCAUUUGUUCCUCGGUCUACUCAAUACGCUCCCUGCUUAAAACUCCCCUAGUGAUUUUCUGUUGGGUUUAAAAUAGAGUCUAAACUCUUUACCAUGGAUUACAAGCUUCUCUGUUAACUGGUUGUAACCUGCAUUUCCAGCCUCCUUUGGCGCCACUCUUGUCCCACCAACUAUAUCACAUUUCCUUUGGAACAUUUUCUGCUUCUUGAACUUGCCCAGGUCCUUGCUGUUAGCUGGUCCCUUUGCCUAUGAUGAUCUUCCUUCUUAGCAUCACUUGAACUGCAAAAAAUAAAAAAUGAAACAAAAAA